Molecule: ribosomal RNA, 447 nt
Filed under: uncultured bacterium
Lineage: Bacteria
Description: bacterial SSU rRNA
Rfam family: Bacterial small subunit ribosomal RNA
Source: RNAcentral
UCGGGAAUUUUGGGCAAUGGGCGAAAGCCUGACCCAGCAACGCCGCGUGAAGGAUGAAGUAUUUCGGUAUGUAAACUUCGUAAGAAUAGGAAGAAUAAAUGACGGUACUAUUUGUAAGGUCCGGCUAACUACGUGCCAGCAGCCGCGGUAAUACGUAGGGACCAAGCGUUGUUCGGAUUUACUGGGCGUAAAGGGCGCGUAGGCGGUUUGUCAAGUCAGUUGUGAAAUCUCCGAGCUUAACUCGGAACGGUCAACUGAUACUGUCAAACUAGAGUACAGAAGGGGCAAUCGGAAUUCUUGGUGUAGCGGUGAAAUGCGUAGAUAUCAAGAGGAACACCUGAGGUGAAGACGGGUUGCUGGGCUGACACUGACGCUGAGGCGCGAAAGCCAGGGGAGCAAACGGGAUUAGAUACCCCAGUAGUCCCUGAGCGGGCUGGCAAGGCGCAU